Molecule: ribosomal RNA, 426 nt
Filed under: uncultured prokaryote
Description: bacterial SSU rRNA
Rfam family: Bacterial small subunit ribosomal RNA
Source: RNAcentral
UGGGGAAUUUUCCGCAAUGGGCGAAAGCCUGACGGAGCAACGCCGCGUGCGGGAUGACGGCCUGUGGGUUGUAAACCGCUUUUAACAGGGAAGAAGCUCUGACGGUACCUGUUGAAUCAGCAUCGGCUAACUCCGUGCCAGCAGCCGCGGUAAUACGGAGGAUGCAAGCGUUAUCCGGAAUAAUUGGGCGUAAAGCGUUCGUAGGUGGUUUUGUAAGUCUGCUGUUAAAGCGUGUAGCUCAACUACAUAUAGGCAGUGGAAACUACAAAACUUGAGUGCGUUCGGGGCAGAGGGAAUUCCUAGUGUAGCGGUGAAAUGCGUAGAGAUUAGGAAGAACACCGGUGGCGAAAGCGCUCUGCUAGGCCGCAACUGACACUGAGGGACGAAAGCUAGGGGAGCGAAUGGGAUUAGAUACCCCUGUAGUCC